GUAGGGUGUUGUAGUGGGUUUUAAAUAGCUGGGCUUGUAACCCAAUGGUUGCAGGUUCAAAUCCAUGCUCCUCA
Molecule: non-coding RNA, 74 nt
Organism: Albula goreensis
Lineage: Eukaryota; Metazoa; Chordata; Actinopteri; Albuliformes; Albulidae
Source: the annotation of a GenBank genome assembly